CCUUCACUUACUUUCAAAACGUCAAGUUUUUUUUACAAAUAUUACGGGUGCCUCCGGUUGAUAACUUAGUUCUCCCCCUUUCUAAAUAAUCUCCUUUCGGUGGCCCCGUGUGGCAACUUUUGUCCCUCCGUCUAAUUAAUCCCUUUAUGUCGUCCCGGGUGGCCAAUUUACUACCCCGACGUCGCUAGUGAAAAGCACACCCGUAGCUCGCAACGGCGUUAGCGGGUCAUGUAGGAUAAAGAAAGAUAAAAAUCUAACGCUUUCAAUACCCCUUUCCCUCCGUAUAUGAUCCUUUGUAAAUUAUACAGAGACUAAAUAGACGUAUCACGUUGGUUUUAUUUCUAGAACGGAAUUAAAUACUAACAAAAAAGAAUCACUUUGUACGUUAAUUCCUUGUAAUUCCCCGUGGAAGGAUUGUUAAGUUCGUGUUAAGGGCAGCCGGUAGUAGAGACGAGUUAUUUUAUGAUGCCCAGGACUGAAGUGGCAGCAGGUGACUAGGGAGGGAGCGAAAUGGUCACGAUCCUGUCUUCAAAACGGGGCCAUUACCUUCGUUACAGCUAAAAACCCCCUCACGCUGUGCGUCAGCUGAAGCACAUGCUAAAGUAGUGCGAAAGGAGUCUGUUUCUUGUUGAUCUCAUUCAAAAGUGUCGGGAUUUAUAGAUUAGAACAAACGUGAAGUAGCAGAUCCAGGUCACGGGAAAUGUACAUAUUAAAAAUAUAUUCAAUAGCAUAUUAAGGUGGGGUCAGUGAGGGUUGUUAUAACUUGUUCACUAUAUUGUGACGUUAGACAAUUUCAAAAACGACCACCUAUUAUGUUUUUAUGAAUUGAAUGCAUCUCUGACAUUUGAAAAAAUCCAGUAAAUUACACUAUAUACGAUAGCAAUUUAAUCAGUAUACAAUAUCUGUGGUUGUGUCAACUUAACAAACUGAAAUCCAAAUGAAUUUGAAUACUGACAAUACUUGGAACAAGAAGGAAAAAUAUCGUGUUAGAUCUAAUUGUCGGGGGGCGGGUAAGGGAUAGUUCUAAUCGGAUGCCUAGUAGGCUCUGUGGUAGUCUCCUCUACCUCAACAGGUAGGCAACACGAAGUUAGAACGGCAGGCAUUCUAAUGAUGGCAGCGUCGCCUCUCCUCGCGUCCGUGGCCGAGACAACCUUUCUGUGUAAAAAAAUUAAACCCUAAGGUACUCGUUCGUGCCCGCGAUUCCGUCUGAACCAAUUCGGUUCUUGUUGCGUGGUUACGCGACUAAUUGUUACAGCACGAACUUGGAAAAGGUUCUAUGCUGCACAAAGUGUGGGGAUGUUAACACUCAAAAUAGUAACAAUAUUUAAUCAUACCCAUAGAACAAACGGUAAAUGGAAACAGAUGGUUUACAUCAUAUAAUAGGGUGACCGUGUGCACCUAAGAAGUAUGCCAGAAAAUCGUCACUUUUACCUUUACCUCUCCUGAUAGUACUAACUAAUAAACUUGGUCCGAAAUAAAAUCAAACUCCUCCUGAAGGUACUGUGACUAGAAGUCUCCCUUCGGGAAAAUCACUUCGUUCUUAACUCGAAACAGAACGUUGUCCUCCGGGGACUAUCCUUGUUGGUUGAAUACCUUACCUGGCUUGUUCUCUUAUAAGUACAAAGUGGAGCUGCCAUGACAAAAUUUAAACAGAAUCCAUAAUCACACACGAGAAUAUAUCGAUAAUGUUAUAACACAAAAAAACACUGUCGUACCUGAGGCCUAAGUUUCAAAAUGUCCUCUACCGGGUAGACAUACUUUGGUAGCCCUUACUGUACCAAGUAUUGUACGGAUCCUGACUACGUUCAUGUAAACAUUGCUCCAAUGUUGAAAGUAUAUAAACGAUUUAUAUAGAAGACUGAUAAAAAUACGAAUAAAACUUCCUAGGUUAUUCAGAGUCCUUCGCUGAUUACCAGGUCUACAACUACCAGUCCCUCUUACUUCGUUUCCUGUUGUAAGGUCUAGUUCAAUCUCAUCGCAACUCUAAAUAACCACCGAUUCCUCCUGACGACGUAGCUAUUUAUGGAUUUUUAUUUCACUACAAAUCAACAAACGAUCCAUUAUUAGACAAACUUACGGGCACGACUAGUCUACUAGUUUACUGUAAAAGAUUUUAUAAAUAUAUCAAAUUUCUCACUAACUACCACCGUAGGUGAUCGAUACAACCAACAAAUAAAUAGAAUGUAAGAUAGAUUUAAAAUGCCAACAUCUGGUCUGGUCAAACCUGGUAUGUACCACGAGGUCAACUUGGCCUCAUGAAAACACAACAUGCUACCGUCCAAGUGUUGUAUGAGUUUCAUCUGGUUCACUACAAAAGUCUGUAAGGCACGGAGCGUAGUAUAUGAUGGAGCAUAUCAUAUUGAGGUAGGUAUGUGCGUGACAAUAUGAUAUGCUCCAAAAGAAGCAGCCAUUAUUAGUGUAAGGUCGAUCUCUUAUGAGUUAUUUGUAUACUGCAAGUA
Molecule: ribosomal RNA, 2459 nt
Filed under: Triticum aestivum (bread wheat)
Lineage: Eukaryota; Viridiplantae; Streptophyta; Magnoliopsida; Poales; Poaceae
Description: partial small subunit ribosomal RNA
Source: RNAcentral